UGGCAGCCAUGCCGCGUGUAUGAAGAAGGCUUCGGGUGUAAAGUACUUUCAGCAGUGAGGAAGGUGGAGUAUGUUAAUAGCAUAUUCAUUUGACGUUAGCUGCAGAAGAAGCACCGGCUAACUCCGUGCCAGCAGCCGCGGUAAUACGGAGGGUGCGAGCGUUAAUCGGAAUUACUGGGCGUAAAGCGCAUGCAGGUGGUUUGUUAAGUCAGAUGUGAAAGCCCGGGGCUCAACCUCGGAAUUGCAUUUGAAACUGGCAAACUAGAGUACUGUAGAGGGGGGUAGAAUUUCAGGUGUAGCGGUGAAAUGCGUAGAGAUCUGAAGGAAUACCGGUGGCGAAGGCGGCCCCCUCGGACAGAUACUGACACUCAGAUGCGAAAGCGUGGGGAGCAAACAGGAUUAGAUACCCUGGUAG
This 415-nucleotide ribosomal RNA is filed under the name uncultured bacterium. RNAcentral's name for it is "bacterial SSU rRNA". It matches the Rfam family "Bacterial small subunit ribosomal RNA", at positions 386 to 793 of the family's 1533-position model. The record is from RNAcentral.